Molecule: ribosomal RNA, 469 nt
Filed under: Streptococcus gordonii
Lineage: Bacteria; Bacillati; Bacillota; Bacilli; Lactobacillales; Streptococcaceae
Description: bacterial SSU rRNA
Rfam family: Bacterial small subunit ribosomal RNA
Source: RNAcentral
GACGAACGCUGGCGGCGUGCCUAAUACAUGCAAGUAGAACGCACAGUUUAUACCGUAGCUUGCUACACCAUAGACUGUGAGUUGCGAACGGGUGAGUAACGCGUAGGUAACCUGCCUGGUAGCGGGGGAUAACUAUUGGAAACGAUAGCUAAUACCGCAUAAUAUUAAUUAUUGCAUGAUAAUUAAUUGAAAGGUGCAAUUGCACCACUACCAGAUGGACCUGCGUUGUAUUAGCUAGUAGGUGAGGUAACGGCUCACCUAGGCGACGAUACAUAGCCGACCUGAGAGGGUGAUCGGCCACACUGGGACUGAGACACGGCCCAGACUCCUACGGGAGGCAGCAGUAGGGAAUCUUCGGCAAUGGACGAAAGUCUGACCGAGCAACGCCGCGUGAGUGAAGAAGGUUUUCGGAUCGUAAAGCUCUGUUGUAAGAGAAGAACGGGUGUGAGAGUGGAAAGUUCACACUGGG